RNAcentral lists this ribosomal RNA (497 nucleotides) under uncultured bacterium. RNAcentral describes it as "partial 16S ribosomal RNA". It matches the Rfam family "Bacterial small subunit ribosomal RNA", at positions 28 to 507 of the family's 1533-position model. The record is from RNAcentral.
GAUGAACGCUGGCGGCGUGCCUAAUACAUGCAAGUCGAGCGAACAGACGAGGAGCUUGCUCCUCUGACGUUAGCGGCGGACGGGUGAGUAACACGUGGAUAACCUACCUCUAAGACUGGGAUAACUUCGGGAAACCGGUGCUAAUACCGGAUAAUAUAUUGAACCGCAUGGUUCAAUAGUGAAAGACGGUUUUGCUGUCACUUAUAGAUGGAUCCGCGUCGCAUUAGCUAGUUGGUAAGGUAACGGCUUACCAAGGCAACGAUGCGUAGCCGACCUGAGAGGGUGAUCGGCCACACUGGAACUGAGACACGGUCCAGACUCCUACGGGAGGCAGCAGUAGGGAAUCUUCCGCAAUGGGCGAAAGCCUGACGGAGCAACGCCGCGUGAGUGAUGAAGGCCUUCGGAUCGUAAAACUCUGUUAUUAGGGAAGAACAAAUGUGUAAGUAACUAUGCACGUCUUGACGGUACCUAAUCAGAAAGCCACGGCUAACUACGUG